RNAcentral lists this ribosomal RNA (249 nucleotides) under Bacillus velezensis. Its description in RNAcentral is "partial 16S ribosomal RNA". It matches the Rfam family "Bacterial small subunit ribosomal RNA", at positions 63 to 302 of the family's 1533-position model. The record is from RNAcentral. Lineage: Bacteria; Bacillati; Bacillota; Bacilli; Caryophanales; Bacillaceae.
CGAGCGGACAGAUGGGAGCUUGCUCCCUGAUGUUAGCGGCGGACGGGUGAGUAACACGUGGGCAACCUGCCUGUAAGACUGGGAUAACUCCGGGAAACCGGGGCUAAUACCGGAUGCUUGUUUGAACUGCAUGGUUCAGACAUAAAAGGUGGCUUCGGCUACCACUUACAGAUGGACCCGCGGCGCAUUAGCUAGUUGGUGAGGUAACGGCUCACCAAGGCGACGAUGCGUAGCCGACCUGAGAGGGUG